This is a long non-coding RNA of Dicentrarchus labrax (European seabass), 1884 nucleotides long. The record is from Ensembl. Lineage: Eukaryota; Metazoa; Chordata; Actinopteri; Moronidae.
CUGAAAGACACAGUAUUUAUGUACAGUUUGUUUCAUAAUGUGUUCAUAAAAAGAAAAAGAAGAGAUCAACAGAUAUACAAUAAAGUCAAAUUUAAUAAAAUGCUGCAAUACAUACUUGGAUUUUCCAAGUGUAAAAAUGUUGUUGACAAGCCGUAAACAUGCAGUGUCUUCAGUCACACACAUACAAACAAAAGUAGGCGAGGAAUGGCGCGUCAGCACCACUUAGUCAGCACUCAUCUGUCCACCACCCUCAUCAUCCUGGGGGAGGGUGGAGGUGGUUGAUGCAGGUGACCUGUCUCCCCACACGGUCCAUCAAGUCUCUGACACACUGUGCAGCCUGAGGGGGAUAAAGCACAAAGCUCCCGCUCAUCAACGAGCCCACUGUUCCCAAGAAUCUGAUCAUGUUUUUGUGUAAACACCCUGAAAGCUUCUCCUUUAAUUAUACUAAAAAAAGCCAGAGAUUAGUGCGCUGACAGUUACCUCAAUGGAGCUAACGAGAACAAACCCAGGGGUAUCUAAUACCAAAAUGAUUACCCAUGUCCCAGGACAACUACUACUGUGCCUGCAUCUCCUGUCCUCUCUUGGACGUCCACAGACUACAAGGCCAACUUCAACUCCAAUCCAGGAGGCAGGGGUAAGGCCCGGGACUCUGGUGGAGUUUGAUUGUUAUGUGAUGCCCUAAGAGUCAUCGGCUAUCCGUGCUAGCGAAAAGCUGCUAUGUUUCCAUCUAUCUGCAUAGCUGCAUAGCUAAACAUGGUUUAAUUCUAAGUUAUCUUUAACAUAACGUGAUGUCAAAAUGCCUUGACACUGAGCACAAGCAGUAUCAGAAAAAUAUCCACAUCUAAAAAAAUGACAUGAUUCUUAGAAAUGGAAAAAUGAUGCAAUUUUUCUGUAUUUUGUUACUCUGAAUCAUAAAUAAAUACUCAACACACAAACCCAUACACGUCUAUUCAGACCUUCAUUUCAGGAUGAACAGUACAAAAAAAGAGUAUAAAUAAACAUGCUUUUAUUGCAGUAUAUGCAUGUUCAAGGCUCUCAGAAAGCCUCAGUCACAGAUCAUUUGCUGGGUUGACAACACAAACACACAAACCCACCAGUCCAUCAUAACAAAUUUGAUAAACAGCCCGAGUUUGUGUACAGAGAAACACAGGAUCCACGUUCUGACAUAGCAGGCAUCAGGGCAGAUAUGAUAAACACUGCGUUUCCCUCAGACUUUUUUUUUUUUUUGUAACGGCAAUCUCAACAGCAACAGAGUGGAACCACAGUGCAUUAUCCAGUCUGAUGAAAGUUGAGAUACGGUAUGAGCUUGGGCAGCUUGUGGGGAACAUAUUCCACAUCCUUGCACAUACUGUACAGUCAUUUAUGCUGAAGGGAAGCACAUGUAAGACCUGAAAUAUGAUCUUGGAGAGACUGUCAAAAUGGCAAUAUCAGAACCAGUAUUCAUUUCCCACUCUGAUGGAAGUUAAGAUAUACCUCUAUAUGUUCAAGCAUUAUUCAAGACAGUAAUUCAUGCUCAAGAAACACAAUAGCUUAACAUGGUUAUUACUACUGUAUGAAGCUGCUGACAAAAGAAUCAUGAUAAACCUCCGUCAGUGAACCAUGGGGAAUCAGAAACAGGCUGCUCCUUGUGUUGUUAGAAAAGAUAGAUGAAAUAUGAGAUAAACGCACAGUGCAAAACAACCCCUCGACCCUGAUCACAAAGAUACUGUAUGAGCAAUGCAUGUGAUAGAGAAGAUAUCAUCGGUUUUGUGUUUGCACAGUGAAACCCAAUACUGCUUUAUAGAGGGGACAUUUAUCCUCAGGAAUGCUGGAACGAUAAAAGUGGAUUUAUGGCCAGUUAUGUAUGCUGGGGGCACUGUAAGGCACACAUUGGUGUAACCUAAA